GCCCCAUUGGCGCAGUCGGUUAGCGCGUGGUACUUAUAGUCUAUAGGUUAUGCCAAGGUCGCCAGUUCGAGCCUGGCAUGGGGCA
This 85-nucleotide transfer RNA is filed under the name Caenorhabditis briggsae. It matches the Rfam family "tRNA". From Rfam's summary of the family: Transfer RNA (tRNA) molecules are approximately 80 nucleotides in length. Their secondary structure includes four short double-helical elements and three loops (D, anti-codon, and T loops). The record is from Rfam by way of RNAcentral. RNAcentral also lists the same sequence under 5 other names. Lineage: Eukaryota; Metazoa; Nematoda; Chromadorea; Rhabditida; Rhabditidae.